AAUAGAUAUCCCAUACCGUAUGGUAUCGGAAGGCACCUCGUAGACUACGAGGUUGAUAGGUCCCAAGUGUAAGUCCCGUAAAGGGAUUAAGCGGAGGGAUACUAAUCUGCCGAGAGGCUUGACCAU
Molecule: ribosomal RNA, 126 nt
Filed under: Candidatus Omnitrophota bacterium
Lineage: Bacteria; Pseudomonadati; Candidatus Omnitrophota
Description: partial 23S ribosomal RNA
Rfam family: Bacterial large subunit ribosomal RNA
Source: RNAcentral